GAUUAUGCUAAACGACACCGGGCCAAUAUACUUCAUCUGCACCUCCGCUGACCAUUGCCGCUUUGGUCAAAAACUUACCGUCAACGUAGUUGAUGAUGCUAGUGGUGCUGGUGGACAUAGCGGUGGCGGCGGUGCUACCCCUCCAGCACCUGGCGGUGCUACCACUCCCACACCUGGAGGUGCUACCACUCCAACAUCUGGAGGUGCUACCACUCCAGCAUCCGGCGGUGCUACUACUCCAGCACCUAGCGGUGCAACUGCCCCAGGUUCUGAAGGAGCCUCUCCCACCACCCCAGGAGCCGGGACUACUGCACCUACCGGC
Molecule: long non-coding RNA, 322 nt
Filed under: Brassica napus (rape)
Lineage: Eukaryota; Viridiplantae; Streptophyta; Magnoliopsida; Brassicales; Brassicaceae
Description: long non-coding RNA (BNAP_LNC010655)
Source: RNAcentral